GAUGAACGCUAGCGGCAGGCCUAAUACAUGCAAGUCGAACGAGACCUUCGGGUCUAGUGGCGCACGGGUGCGUAACGCGUGGGAACCUGCCUUUAGGUUCGGAAUAACUCAGAGAAAUUUGAGCUAAUACCGGAUGAUGUCUUCGGACCAAAGAUUUAUCGCCUUUAGAUGGGCCCGCGUUGGAUUAGCUUGUUGGUGAG
Molecule: ribosomal RNA, 200 nt
Filed under: uncultured bacterium
Lineage: Bacteria
Description: partial 16S ribosomal RNA
Rfam family: Bacterial small subunit ribosomal RNA
Source: RNAcentral